UACGAAGGGUGCAAGCGUUACUCGGAAUUACUGGGCGUAAAGGGUGCGUAGGUGGUCGUUUAAGUCCGUUGUGAAAUCCCUGGGCUCAACCUGGGAAUGGCAGUGGAUACUGGACGGCUAGAAUGCGGUAGAGGGUAGUGGAAUUCCCGGUGUAGCGGUGAAAUGCGUAGAGAUCGGGAGGAACACCAGUGGCGAAGGCGGCUACCUGGACCAGCACUGACACUGAGGCACGAAAGCCAGGGGAGCAAACGGG
Molecule: ribosomal RNA, 253 nt
Filed under: uncultured bacterium
Lineage: Bacteria
Description: partial 16S ribosomal RNA
Rfam family: Bacterial small subunit ribosomal RNA
Source: RNAcentral